This 253-nucleotide ribosomal RNA is filed under the name uncultured bacterium. RNAcentral's name for it is "partial 16S ribosomal RNA". It matches the Rfam family "Bacterial small subunit ribosomal RNA", at positions 524 to 776 of the family's 1533-position model. The record is from RNAcentral.
UACGUAGGGUGCAAGCGUUGUCCGGAAUUAUUGGGCGUAAAGAGCUCGUAGGUGGCCUGUCGCGUCGGCUGUGAAAACUCGGGGCUCAACUCCGAGCUUGCAGUCGAUACGGGCAGGCUAGAGUUCGGCAGGGGAGACUGGAAUUCCUGGUGUAGCGGUGAAAUGCGCAGAUAUCAGGAGGAACACCGGUGGCGAAGGCGGGUCUCUGGGCCGAUACUGACACUGAGGAGAGAAAGCGUGGGGAGCGAACAGG